AUGUCAUCAUUAUACCAGAAAAUUUUCAACGAUGGAUAUCUGGGUUCCCAUAACGAUGAAGAACGCAGCGAAAUGCGAUACGCAAUGCGAAUAGCAGAUCUGCGAGACAUUAGAUUUUCGAACGCACUUGGCGCUAGUUUACUAGCAUGUUUGUUUCAGUGU
This 162-nucleotide ribosomal RNA is filed under the name Paramecium tetraurelia. RNAcentral's name for it is "5.8S ribosomal RNA". The stretch from base 21 to 162 matches the Rfam family "5.8S ribosomal RNA". Rfam says of the family: 5.8S ribosomal RNA (5.8S rRNA) is a component of the large subunit of the eukaryotic ribosome. It is transcribed by RNA polymerase I as part of the 45S precursor that also contains 18S and 28S rRNA. Functionally, it is thought that 5.8S rRNA may be involved in ribosome translocation. The record is from RNAcentral. Lineage: Eukaryota; Ciliophora; Oligohymenophorea; Peniculida; Parameciidae.